RNAcentral lists this ribosomal RNA (104 nucleotides) under Rhodanobacter sp. FW104-R5. Its description in RNAcentral is "partial 23S ribosomal RNA". The stretch from base 1 to 93 matches the Rfam family "Bacterial large subunit ribosomal RNA", at positions 2833 to 2925 of the family's 2925-position model. The record is from RNAcentral. Lineage: Bacteria; Pseudomonadati; Pseudomonadota; Gammaproteobacteria; Lysobacterales; Rhodanobacteraceae.
GCACCAUCAAGACCAGGUGGUUGAUAGGUCAGGUGUGGAAGCGCAGCAAUGCGUUCAGCUAACUGAUACUAAUGAGCCGUGCGGCUUGACCAUAUAACCCCAAG